AGGCAUUAGAAGAUUCAGGAAGUGGCUUAUUUAGUGAUAUUUUAGCAAAUAUAAAUGUGUGAGGAACGUAGCAGAGCGGUCCAGUGAAUACCUGAGCUGUGGAGGAAGCUGCUGGUGGACUUUGAGACGACUCACUCUGGCAGAUAAUCUGCUGAGAAGAUGGAUGGCUGCCAUGCCGCCGUCACCAGGCAUUCAGGAGCAGUGGAGCCGCCUGGUUUCAGAGAGAAGCUGAGAACCAAACCACCCGUUUCAAACAUUCACCCUGAGGGCUCAUUUUCUUCUGUUGUGUUCAAGAGCUGAUGUGGAGCAAAGAGGGACCGGCGUGGGCGAGCGAGGGGCGAGCGCUAAAAAUCCCAUAGCAACAAGCAGAUAAUACACAGAUACCAGUAAACAACGUCGAUGGAAGGUAAACCGGAA
Sebastes umbrosus (honeycomb rockfish) is the source of this 417-nucleotide long non-coding RNA. RefSeq lists it as uncharacterized. Lineage: Eukaryota; Metazoa; Chordata; Actinopteri; Perciformes; Sebastidae. The record is from RefSeq and is a predicted model, not a curated record. The transcript is spliced from 4 exons.